GGAACCUGACAUCAGCACAUUGGCUUCCAGAUCUACGCACUGUGAGUGAAAGCUUCAAUUUCACUCACCAUCUUGGAGACUCCAGGCAGGCUGCAGUGGGGUGAGGGGAGCAGUGCAGAGCCGACGACAUCUCAGGCCCUGAAAUGGAAUGUUUUGCCAAGCUACAACUUAAAACGGGAUCAGCAAAAUGUUUUCUUUCUUGGCAAUCAUCAUGAAGUCAUUGUCCAAUUGAGGACAUUAAACACUUCAGAGCUUCACUGUACGAGGUCUCCUAAAAGAACUGUGGUUCUUGGAAUCGAAUAUCUCACCAGCAGUUACACAGGGGUGCACUUGUCAUUACUUCAAGGGACUCUUGUGAGGGCCACCAGGUGGAUAAGGCAGAUGAAGCAACUGAGGCUGAAGUGA
RNAcentral lists this long non-coding RNA (405 nucleotides) under Ornithorhynchus anatinus (platypus). RNAcentral describes it as "lncRNA (ENSOANG00000050506.1)". Lineage: Eukaryota; Metazoa; Chordata; Mammalia; Monotremata; Ornithorhynchidae. The record is from RNAcentral.